Molecule: long non-coding RNA, 590 nt
Filed under: Bos taurus (domestic cattle)
Lineage: Eukaryota; Metazoa; Chordata; Mammalia; Artiodactyla; Bovidae
Description: long non-coding RNA NONBTAT021922
Source: RNAcentral
UUUGGGAUAGCAGUGCUUCUAAGCCUCUUUUCCUCUUCAAAUAUCUUAUAUAUGAAAUAGAAAUCGUUUUCUAUUAGUCUAAUCAUCAUUUAAAAAACUGCCAAAUUGGAUCAUGUUGUGAUGCUUUUUGGAUUAUUCUUUGAUGUCAUUUACAAGGAUAUGAAUUUUUUCAUGUGAGUAAUGACCCUGGAGGUUCUCUGGUAUGACAGGAACCUAGAGUGUGGGAUGUCAACCACAGCAGUCUGUCUGAACUGCCCAAACACUUUGCUACAAAUGGACAAGCUCCUUGAAUGUACAGGCUGCAUCCUCAGUACUUAGUGAAACAUCUGAAACAGUAAAGAUUAAAUAAGAUUGCUGAAUAAACAUAAAUCUAGAGCUCUUUAAAGUAUUACACUUAUUUAUAUUCAUGCCAUUUCUGAGACUAGAUUAUAUUUUCUAAUAACAUUUAUCAUUUCCUCUUAUAGACAUGUAAUAUGCUUGAAACAGAAAUCAUGAAAGUACAGAAAACCAUGAAGAAAUAAUUGCCUAUCCAAAGAAAAUUAUUAUAUUUCUCAUAUAUCCUUUCAGUAUAUCUUUAAAUUGUUUUCUUU